CCUACACCCAAAUUUGAUAAAUUUGGGUGGACGAAGGACAUCCAUUUGUUUGCCAGAAAACUGGCUCUUCAUAAAUACCACUGCAUUCAGAGAACUAAACAAGCAACCAGACUGGGCCUAGAACCUAGAGAUAUGAAUUUACUGGACAAUCUGGUAGAACUGCUGAAUAGUAAUGAUUCAUCCAAUACUCACUUAGCUCCAUUCACUGACCUAAAACAUAAAAGUAAGUUCACC
Molecule: non-coding RNA, 234 nt
Organism: Pelobates cultripes (western spadefoot toad)
Lineage: Eukaryota; Metazoa; Chordata; Amphibia; Anura; Pelobatidae
Source: the annotation of a GenBank genome assembly